This 503-nucleotide ribosomal RNA is filed under the name uncultured bacterium. RNAcentral's name for it is "partial 16S ribosomal RNA". It matches the Rfam family "Bacterial small subunit ribosomal RNA", at positions 30 to 523 of the family's 1533-position model. The record is from RNAcentral.
AUUGAACGCUGGCGGCAGGCCUAACACAUGCAAGUCGAGCGGGGUGAUGGUGCUUGCACUAUCACUUAGCGGCGGACGGGUGAGUAAUGCUUAGGAAUCUGCCUAUUAGUGGGGGACAACAUCUCGAAAGGGAUGCUAAUACCGCAUACGUCCUACGGGAGAAAGCAGGGGAUCACUUGUGACCUUGCGCUAAUAGAUGAGCCUAAGUCGGAUUAGCUAGUUGGUGGGGUAAGGGCCUACCAAGGCGACGAUCUGUAGCGGGUCUGAGAGGAUGAUCUGCCACACUGGGACUGAGACACGGCCCAGACUCCUACGGGAGGCAGCAGUGGGGAAUAUUGGACAAUGGGGGGAACCCUGAUCCAGCCAUGCCGCGUGUGUGAAGAAGGCCUUAUGGUUGUAAAGCACUUUAAGCGAGGAGGAGGCUCUUUUGGUUAAUACCCAAGGUGAGUGGACGUUAUUUGCAGAAUAAGCACCGGCUAACUCUGUGCCAGCCGCCGCAGUAA